AUGUGGGGGGUUGCAGGUCCGCCUCGGUGGUCUGCUCCUCUGAAAUGUAUUAGUGGGUUUGGUCCCCUAAUCUAUUGGUGUGAUAAUUAUCUACGCCGUGGGUUGGGAGAUGCUUGUGAACCUGCUUCUAACCGUCCCUUACAAGGACAAUCAUUGACAUUUUUGACCUCAAAUCAGGUAAGACUACCCGCUGAACUUAA
Molecule: unclassified non-coding RNA, 200 nt
Filed under: soil metagenome
Description: partial contains internal transcribed spacer 2 and large subunit ribosomal RNA
Source: RNAcentral